RNAcentral lists this ribosomal RNA (639 nucleotides) under uncultured Actinomycetes bacterium. RNAcentral's name for it is "bacterial SSU rRNA". It matches the Rfam family "Bacterial small subunit ribosomal RNA", at positions 232 to 885 of the family's 1533-position model. Lineage: Bacteria; Bacillati; Actinomycetota; Actinomycetes. The record is from RNAcentral.
CGCGGCCUAUCAGCUUGUUGGUGGGGUAAUGGCCUACCAAGGCGGCGACGGGUAGCCGGCCUGAGAGGGUGGACGGCCACAUUGGGACUGAGAUACGGCCCAGACUCCUACGGGAGGCAGCAGUGGGGAAUAUUGCACAAUGGGCGAAAGCCUGACGCAGCGACGCCGCGUGCGGGAAGACAGCCCUAAGGUUGUAAACCGCUUUCAGCAGGGACGAAAUUGACGGUACCUGCAGAAGAAGCCCCGGCCAACUACGUGCCAGCAGCCGCGGUAAUACGUAGGGGGCAAGCGUUGUCCGGAAUUAUUGGGCGUAAAGAGCUCGUAGGCGGCUUGGCAAGUCGGAUGUGAAAUCUCCUGGCUCAACUGGGAGGGGCCAUUCGAUACUGUCAUGGCUAGAGUCCGGUAGAGGAGUGUGGAAUUCCCGGUGUAGCGGUGAAAUGCGCAGAUAUCGGGAGGAACACCAAUAGCGAAGGCAGCACUCUGGGCCGGAACUGACGCUCAGGAGCGAAAGCGUGGGGAGCGAACAGGAUUAGAUACCCUGGUAGUCCACGCCGUAAACGUUGGGCACUAGGUGUGGGACUCCAUUGACGGGUUCCGUGCCGCAGCUAACGCAUUAAGUGCCCCGCCUGGGGAGUACGG